AACGAACGCUGGCGGCAUGCCUAACACAUGCAAGUCGAACGAGACCUUCGGGUCUAGUGGCGCACGGGUGCGUAACGCGUGGGAAUCUGCCCUUGGGUUCGGAAUAACAGUUAGAAAUGACUGCUAAUACCGGAUGAUGUCUUCGGACCAAAGAUUUAUCGCCCAAGGAUGAGCCCGCGUAGGAUUAGGUAGUUGGUGGGGUAAUGGCCCACCAAGCCGACGAUCCUUAGCUGGUCUGAGAGGAUGAUCAGCCACACUGGGACUGAGACACGGCCCAGACUCCUACGGGAGGCAGCAGUGGGGAAUAUUGGACAAUGGGCGAAAGCCUGAUCCAGCAAUGCCGCGUGAGUGAUGAAGGCCUUAGGGUUGUAAAGCUCUUUUACCAGGGAUGAUAAUGACAGUACCUGGAGAAUAAGCUCCGGCUAACUCCGUGCCAGCCGCCGCAGUAA
Molecule: ribosomal RNA, 449 nt
Filed under: uncultured bacterium
Lineage: Bacteria
Description: partial 16S ribosomal RNA
Rfam family: Bacterial small subunit ribosomal RNA
Source: RNAcentral